This 447-nucleotide ribosomal RNA is filed under the name uncultured bacterium. RNAcentral describes it as "bacterial SSU rRNA". It matches the Rfam family "Bacterial small subunit ribosomal RNA", at positions 330 to 794 of the family's 1533-position model. The record is from RNAcentral.
GCCAGACUCCUACGGGAGGCAGCAGUGGGGGAUAUUGCACAAUGGGGGGAACCCUGAUGCAGCGACGCCGCGUGAGUGAAGAAGUAAUUCGUUAUGUAAAGCUCUAUCAGCAGGGAAGAAAAUGACGGUACCUGAGUAAGAAGCUCCGGCUAAAUACGUGCCAGCAGCCGCGGUAAUACGUAUGGAGCAAGCGUUAUCCGGAUUUACUGGGCGUAAAGGGAGCGUAGGCGGCCUGCCAAGUCUGAUGUGAAAUACCGGGGCUCAACCCCGGGGCUGCAUUGGAAACUGGCAGGCUGGAGUGCCGGAGAGGCAGGCGGAAUUCCUAGUGUAGCGGUGAAAUGCGUAGAUAUUAGGAGGAACACCAGUGGCGAAGGCGGCCUGCUGGACGGUGACUGACGCUGAGGCUCGAAAGCGUGGGGAGCAAACAGGAUUAGAUACCCCAGUAUU